This is a long non-coding RNA of Ochotona princeps (American pika), 1497 nucleotides long. RefSeq lists it as uncharacterized. Lineage: Eukaryota; Metazoa; Chordata; Mammalia; Lagomorpha; Ochotonidae. The transcript is spliced from 2 exons. The record is from RefSeq and is a predicted model, not a curated record.
UGCUCUCAGGCCAUGAGAAAUGUAAAUUUGGUCAUGGUCCCUUUUGUUUUUGAACAAAAAUAGUUUUGAUACCAAUAAUUUCAUGUUGUAUUGCAAGACUUGUAAUGAAUAGGAAAAUAUCUACUAAAUUACAUAGCUUUUAUUUAUAUUCAAAUCUGAAAAUUCUACCAUUUCCCCAUUAACUAGCAGCAUUCAUUUAUAGUUAUUUAUGAAAUCUCAAGGGGCUCUUUCAUUGGGAUUUCUUAUUUUUACUUAUGUCUUUUGUUAAUUUCUUUAAUUGGAGUGGGGGCAAAAUGAAUAACUCAAUAAAGGCUUUUUAAUGACACAAUUGGCAUGUUUGCAUGAUGAAGGGGAAAUGAACAGUAUUGCAAUGUCUGGUAUAUGAAGUAACAUUUACUCAAUGUAGAUAAAGUUAUUACUAGUUUAAAAUGUGUGCAUUGGCUUGUAUUAGUGUUUUAGUCUUUUUUGAAAGAUAUAUGCUCUGUUAAUGUUGCAUUUUAAAGUUCAUGCUAGUCUAACAUUCCUUGCUCUCUGCCUGCAUCUUUAACAAUGGCCAAAGUGAAGAAAAUGCUACCUUUUUUGUUAACAAGACAGUGAUUGAGACAUGUACAUCUAGAGCCUUUUAUUUUUUCCUUUUUUCUUUUGGUGUUGGACAUUCUGGGAAUAAGGAAAAACAUUUUUUGGUGGCAAAUCAAGGACCUCUAAGUUGUUAAGUAUAAAGUUGAAGUGAUUUCUAAUGCCAGCGUUACUUAUUUGCCUCUCCACAUUUUAUGAAGGAGCAUAUAUGUACGUGUGUGCAUGCAUGCAUGUGUAUGUUUUGCUUUUUGUUUACACCAACCAAUCAAAAGGGAUAGAUUCUAGAAGAUGGGGCAUGGUAGAGAAGGAGUUUUUGACGUUAAAAACAGCCGAGUUGUUUUCAUCACUUAGAUUCACUAGGACGGAGCUGCUCCCCUAAGGACAAGGACAGUAGGCGCUGCGUAGGCUUCUGUGUAUGUGUAUGUUUGUUUCGUUUUUGUUUUUGUUUUCUUUGUAGACCGUUCGGUGUGUGGUUUAUUCAAGGCUCCAUGGUUUUCUUUAAUGCUUCUGGCUAUGCAUUUUUUUUCUUACAUAUAGAAUUUGGGGGUGGCCUGGGCUCUAUGUUCGUGUUUGGGGACUUAGCAGUAUUGAGCCUCUUAUAGCCCUACUCUUAAGCCUGCAAUACUGUCCACUCUUGAUAUUUCUUAAUUUAUGAAAGCCCUCACACUCCCUAAAAUAUGAGCCUUUAAAACAUGGGAGAAUUAUCCCAAUCAUGGGUUUGAAAGGUCUGUUAAGAAAUGGAAAUGCUGCAGAGCUCAACGUAAUUCCUUAAACAGCAAGUUCCAUCUGCCUACAAAUCCUCUGAAGCUUCCCCGCCCUGUCCUGCCUCUCCAGUGCUCUGUUCCUUCAGACGGACUUGUAACGUAAUCUCUCGGACAUGAUAGCGACACCUCGAGGCAAUAAUAAAAGCUCAGUAGUAAC